UCUCCGUUGGUGAACCAGCGAAGGGAUCAUUACCGAGUGCAAACUCAUAACCCUUUGUGAACCUAUAUCUGUUGCUUCGGCGGCUCGCUCUCGGGCGAGCCCGCCGGUAAUAUCAGUAUCUCUGUUUGAACCCGACGAUACUUCUGAGUGUUCUUAGCGAACAGUUAAAACUUUUAACAACGGAUCUCUUGGCUCUA
RNAcentral lists this unclassified non-coding RNA (197 nucleotides) under plant metagenome. RNAcentral describes it as "partial contains small subunit ribosomal RNA, internal transcribed spacer 1, and 5.8S ribosomal RNA". The record is from RNAcentral.